GAUCGACGGACCUCGCGACGGAUCGUUGUUGUCACGACGGGCCGUCAUGGACUCCGUUGUCCCAUACUUAUGCAAUUUCUUCUGCAGCUCUCUUCAUUAUCCUCGACAGCAGGUAUGACAGAUCGUCACUGGCACAACGGUCCGUCAAGGGUCUCUGUUUCAUACCACUUGAACUCUUGGAAUUUGGGUACUGGACUACUUCUCUGAUCUUCAUGACGAACAAGCAGGACGGACCGUCAUGGCUAAGACGGUCUAUCACUCACUCUGUAACCCCACACUUGGUCAGACUUCCCCAUCUUCCUUCGACAGCUGCACUACGAUGCCACCUAUGGACCGUCACGGGCAUGAUGAACCGUUACAAGCUCUGUAGGAGGUACUUUUCUGCAUUUCGUGCUCAAAACCUCCAUUCAUCUUUUAGACAGAUUUCCUACAAAUAAAGAGAAACUUACACAAAAGUUAAUACAAAAAGGCUUUUGGUCACACUAGACUUAAGGAAAUAGCAUUAAAAAUACCGUGAAACCACAGUAUAUCAACAGGCAUUCAUGAAAAGAUUUAAGUUUUGUUCUUUAUCGACAUGAUAUUCUAUGGUUAUUACUGCUAGUCAAAGUUUUUUGAUGUUUUUUCCAUUGUUUAUGUGUGUUUCUUUAUAUUUCGGUCAUUUGUGUGAACUUACAUAAAAUUAUACUAUUUUUAUGAAGUAACGAAAAGAAGUGAAGUUUUGUUUUGUUAUUUAACACAAUGUUCUAAGGUCAUUAGGGCAAGUCAAUAUUUUUCGAGUCACUUUUCAAAAUAUUUAUGUGUUUCUUGAUAUUUCUUCUAGUUUGGGGUUUACGUAAUAUUCACCCAUUUUAGGGAAGUUACUAAAAGAAUUAAAAUUUUAUUUUUUUAUUCAUCACGAUAUUCAAGGUUAUUGGUGCAUUGUCGAAAAAUGUUGAGGCGUUUUUUGUUAUUUUUUGUGUUCUUUGAUGCUUCGGUCAUUUUUGUGCAUUUAUGAAAAUAAUUAUAGAUUUAUUCUGUUAUUCAUCACGAUAUUCUAAGGUUAGUGGUGCAAUUCAAAUUUUUUUGAGAUGUUUUUUGUAUUUGAUGUGUGUUCUUUUUUUGGGGGGGCUAUUUUUCAGCAGUUACAAAAAAAUAAAGUUUUGUUAUGUUAUUCUUCAUGAUAUUAUAAAGUCAUGGUGCAAGUUAAAAACAAAUUCGAGGCAUUUAUGUAUUGUUUAUGAGUGUUUCUUGAAUUUCUGUCAAUCUGGACGCAUUUACGUAAUAUUUAGUCAUUUUUGGGUAGUUACAAAAUGAAGUACAAUUUUAUUCUUUUGUUCAUCAUCAUAUUUUUAGGUGAUAGGUGCAGGUCAAAAAAAUUUAAGGCCUUUUCUGUAUUGUAAAUGUGUUUUUAUAUUUUUCAACCUUUUUUCCAUUUACGUAAUAUUCCGUCUUUUUUGGACAGUUAUGAAAAGGAUUAAGUUUUUUUCUUUUAUUCAUCACGAAAUUCUCAGGUCAUUGGUGCAAGUCUAAAUUAUUUUGAGUCAUUUUUUAUAAUGCUUAUCUCUAUUUCUUAAUUUUCUGCCAUUUUGGGCAUUUACCUAAUAUUCGGCUUUUUUUUGGUAGUAACGAAAGAAGUAAAAUUUUGUUUACUUAUAAUAUUCUAAGGUAAUUUGAGCAAGUCAAAACAUUUUUGUGGUGUUUUUUGAAAAAUAUUUUUAGUGUGUUUCAUGAUUUUCAACUAUUUUGUUGCAUUUACAUAACAUUCUAUUGUUUUCAGACAGUUACGAAAAGAAGUAAAAUUUAUCGUUUUAUUCGUCAAGAUACUAUAAUGUCAUUGGUGUAAGUUAAAAUUUUUUGAUGCAUCUUUUUUAUUCUUUAUGAGUGUUUCUUAAUUUUUUGCCAUUUUGGAGCGUCAUGAAAUAUUCAGCCAUUUUUGGACUAUUACAAAAAAUAUUUCUAUUUUAUGGCGUUAUUCGUCACAAUAUUGAAGGUCAUUGGUGCAAGUUAAAAACAUUUCGAGGCGCUUUAUGUAUCUAUUAUGUGUGUUUCUUGAUUUUUCGUUUAUUAUGGGGCGUUGGCAUCAUAUUCUGUAAUUUUCGGGAAGUUAUGAAAAAAAGUAAAGUUUUAUUCUAUUGUUCCUCAUGAUAUUCAGAGGUCAUUGGUACAAGUCAUAAUUUUUUUUGAGGUAUUUUUGCAUUGUUUAUGUGUAUUUCUUGAUAAUUUGACAAUUUUGAGCGUUUACGUAAUAUUCGCUCAUUUUGGGGCAAUUAUAAAAAGUAGUAAACUUUUGUUCCAUUAUUCGUCACGAUAUUCUAAAGUGAUCGUGCAAGUCAAAAAAAUUGAGGUGUUUUUUGUAUUGUUAAUGUGUGUUUCUUGAAUUAUCGAUUAUUUUUGUGUUUUUACGCAAUGUUCGUCCAUUAUCAGGUAGUUAUGAAAAAAGUGAAGUUUCAUUUUAUUCAUCACGCUAUUGUUAACUCAUAACUGCAAGUCAAUUUUUUUUGAGGAGCUUUUGUAUUGUUUAUGUAUGUUUCUUGAUUAUUCGACCAUUUAGGGUGUUUACAUAAUAUUUGGAAAUUUUCAUGCAUUUACAAAAAGAAGUAACAUUUUUUCUGUCAUUCGUCAUGAUAUUCCAAGGUGAAUGGUAUAAGUUGAAAUUUUAUUGACACAUUUUUAUAUGUUUCUAAUUUUUUGGUACUUUGGUACAUUUACGUAAUAUUCAGCAAAUUUGAGUAGUUACUAGUAGAGUUUUAGUUAUUUAUGACAAUAUUCUAAGGUAAUCGGUGCAAGUCAAUAUUAUUUUGAGGCGUUUUUGUAUUGCUUAUGUGUGUUUCUUUAUUUUUCGAUCAUUUUUUGUCAUGUACGUAAUAUUCGGCCAUUUUGUUGUAUUAUUCUUCACGAUAUUGUAUGGUCAUUGGUGCAAGACGAAAAUUUUUGAAGCGUUUUUUGUAUUGUUUAUGUGCGUUUCUUGUUUUUUCAACCAUUUUGGGUAAUUUUAGAAAGAAGUUAAGUUUUUUUUCUAUUAUUCGUCACGAUAUUCUCAGGUCAAUUGUGCAAGUCAAAAUUUUAUUGAGUCGGUUUUUGUAUUGUUUAUGUGUGUUUCUUUAUUUUUCGACCAUCUUGGGGGCAUUUACGUAAUAUUCGGCUAUUUCUAAUUAGUUAUGGAAAGAAGUAAUUUUUUUAUUUAUUUUUCACAAAAUUCUAAGGUCAUGGUACAAGUCAAAAAAAUUCUUUAGUAGUUCUUUGUAUUGUUUAUGUCUGCUUCUUGAUAUUUUAGCCAUUUGGGGAGUUUACGUAAUAUUCAACCAUUUUCAGGAAACUUACAAAAAGAAGUAAAUUUUUAUUAUUGUACACAAUAUCCUAAGGUCACUAUGGAUGGUCAAAACUUUUUGAUCCCCUUUUUGUAUUGUUUAUGUGUUUCUUGAUUUUUAAGCUAGUUUGGGGUGUUUCUUUAAUAUUUGUCCUUUUUAGGCACUUACGAAAAUAAUUAAAGUGUUGUGUUGAUAUUGUCACAAUGUUCAAGGUUAUUAGUGCAAGUCGAUUUUUUGCGGCGUUUUUUAUUAUUUAUGUGAGUUUCUUGAUUUUUUGUCCAAUUCAGUGAAUUUAUGUCGUAUUCGGCCUUUUCUGCGCAGUUACAAAAGGUAGUAAAGAUUUGUUCAGUUGUUUGUUACCAUAUUCUAAGGUUGUUGGUGUAAUUAAAAAUUAUUUAAAAUGUUUUGUAUUAUUUGUGUUUUUGUUUAUCUUUUGGCCAUUUUGGGGUAUUUACGAAAUAUUCAGCCCUUUUCAAACAAUUACAAAAAGUAGUACAAGUUGGUGAUGUUAUUUGUCAUGAUAUUCUAUGUUCACUGGCGCAAGUCAAAAAAUUUUAGGCAUAUUUUGUAUUAUUUAUAUGUGUUUCUUGAUUUUUCGGCCAUUUUAGGGUGUUUACAUAAUAUUUUGACAUUUUCGGGCAGUUACGAAGAGAAGUAACGUUUUAUUUUGUUGUUCAUAAUUAUAUUGUAGGUCGUUGGUGCAAGAAAAUUUUUUAUGAGUCGAUUUUUUGUAUUUUUAGAAAUAUUUUAUAUUAUUUAUGUGUAUUUAUUGAUUAUCCCAUCAUUUUGGGUGGUUACGUAAUAUUCGGUAAUUUUUGGACAAUUAUAAAAAAGUAAUGUUUUUCAUAUGUUAUUCAUCACAAUAUUCUAAGGUGAUUUUCAAGUUGAUUUUUAGGCAUUUUUUAAUGUUUAUGUUUGUUUCUUAUUUUUUCGCCUUUUUGUGUGUUUACAUAAUAUUCGUUAUUUUUGGGUAGUCACAAAAUGAAGUAAAGUUUUAUUUUGUUUUUUAUCAUGAUAUUCUAAGGUUAUAGGUGCAACUCAAUAAAAUUUUGAGACAUUUUUUGUAUUAGUUGUGUGUUUCUCGAUAUGUCGACUAUUUUUGGCCAUAUACGUAAUAUUCGUGCACUUUUUGAUAGUUAUGAAUAGAAGUAAAGUUUUGUUGUAUUAUUCGUCACGAUAUUCUAAGGUUAUUAAUGCAAGUCAAAAAUUUUAGAGGCAUUUUUUGUAUUGUUUAUAUGUGUUGAUUUACCAACCAUUUUUUAGCAUUUACGUGAUAUUUGACCAUUUUCAGACAAUUAUGAAAUGAAAUAAAGUUUUUUUCAUUUAUUCAUUACGAUAUUCGAAGUUCAAUUCUACAAGUCAAAUAUUUUUGAGGCUUUUUUGUAUUGUUUGUAAGUGUUUCUUGAUUUUUCGGCUAUUUUGGACAUUUUUGUAAUAUUCGAUCAUAUUCAGGAGUUGCGAAAAGAAUUAAGUUUUGUUGUUCAAUAUGUCAUGAUAUUCUAAGGUCAUUGGUGCAAGUCAAUGUUUUUAGUAGUAUCUGUAUUAUUUAUAUGUGUUUCUCAAUUUUAGGCGAUACUGAGGCAUAUACGUAAUAUUUUGCAAUUUUCAAGCAGUAACGAAAAGAAGUAAGGUUUUGUUAUGUUAUUCCACACGAUAUUUUAAGGUUAUUAGGGAAAGACAAAAAAAACAUUGAGACAUUUUUUUGUAUUGUUUGUGAGUUUGUUGAUUAUUCAGCCAGUUUGGGGCGUUUACGUAAUAUUCUCCCAAUUUCAGGUAGUUACGAAAAGAAUUCAAGUGUUUUCGUUAUUCCUCAUGGUAUUCUAGAUUAUUGGUGCAAGUGGAAUUUUUAAGGAGUAUUUUGUAUUUUUUUUAUGUGCUUUAUUGAUUUUGGCCUUUUUCGGGUAGUUACAGAAAGAAGAAAAGAUUUGUUCAGUUAUUCGUCAUGAUAUUCUAAGGUCAGUGAUGCUACUCGAAAUUGUUUUGAGGUGUUUUUGGUGUUGUUUGUGUAUUUCUUGAUUUUUUUGAUCAUUUUGGGCAUUUACAUAAUUUCGGCCAUUAACGGAAAGUUACGAGAAAAAAAGUAAAGUUUUGAUUCUUUAUUCUUCAUGAUAUUCCGAGAUCAUUGAUUCAAGUCAUAAUAUAUUGAGAUUUUUUUUGAUUUUUUACGUGUGUUUAUUGAUAUUUUAGAUAUGUUGGAGCAUUUACGUAAUAUUCGACCACCUUAUGACAGUUACAAAAAUAAGUAAAGUAUUGUUGUGUUAUUCAUCAUGAAAGUUUUAGGUCAUUGGUCCAAGUCAAAACAAUUUGAGGUUUCUUUUGGUAUUAUUUGUGUCUUUCUUCAUUUUUCUGUCAUUUUAGGGCGUUAACAUAAUAUUCAACCAUUUUCGUGCAUUUACGAAUGGAAGUAAAGUUUCGUAUGAUUAUUCGUCAUGAUAUUCUAAGGUCAUUGGUGCAAGUAAAAUUUCUAUUAAGGCGAUUUUUGUAUUGUUUAUAUGUGUUUCUUGAUUUUUCCAUCAUAUAGGGACAUUUAAGUAAUAUUUUGCCAUUUCAGGCAAUUACAAAAAAGUAAUGUUUUUUUCUAAUAUUCAUCACGAUAUUCUAAGGUCAAUGAUGCAAGUGGAAAUUUUCAGGCGUUUUGUAUUCUAAUAUGUUUCUUGAUUUUUUUCGUUUAUUUUGGGGCAUUUACGCAAUAUUUGACCAUUUUCGGGAUGUCACAAAAUAAGUAUGUUUUGUUCUUUUGUUCGCCACGAUAUUCUAAGGCAUUGGCGCAAGUAAAUUUUUUUGAGUCGUUCUUUGUAUUUUUUGUGUAUUCUUGAUUUUUUGUCAUUUGGAGCAUUUACAUAAUAUUUGACUAUUUUUCAGGCAGUUACGGAAAAAUGUAAACUUUUGUUCUGUAACUCGGCACGAUAUUCCAAGGUCAUAUCAAGAAACAUACAUAAACAAGAAACACAUAUAUGUAGGUAUGAGAAGAAGCAAAGUUUUGUUCUGUCAUUCGUCACGAUAUUCUAAGGUCAUUAGUAUAAGUUAGAUUUUUUGAGGCAAUGUUUGUAUCGUUUAUGUUUGUUUCUUGAUUUUUCGGCCUUUUCGGGGGAAUUAUGAAAAGAAGUAAACUUUUACUCUA
Non-coding RNA from Solanum lycopersicum (tomato), 6408 nucleotides. The record is from RefSeq and is a predicted model, not a curated record. NCBI's taxonomy places the organism in Eukaryota, Viridiplantae, Streptophyta, Magnoliopsida, Solanales, Solanaceae.